This 215-nucleotide long non-coding RNA is filed under the name Lathyrus oleraceus (garden pea). RNAcentral's name for it is "Pisum sativum (pea) long non-coding RNA (PSAT_LNC026119)". The record is from RNAcentral. Lineage: Eukaryota; Viridiplantae; Streptophyta; Magnoliopsida; Fabales; Fabaceae.
CCAAAAUUUACCCCACCCUUCACAAUGUUCAUCUAUGUCCGUAAUCCUAAUUCGGAUGCAUACAUUCAUACUCAAUCAUUUCACUUGCAUUGGCAUUAAAUAAGACAAGAGAACAUGUGUCGCAUCUUAGAGAAACGCGCACACAAAAUAGAGUCGCCACCAAUGUUAUUUAUCCCAUAAGAGGGAAAUGGAACACUGAGUAAACCUAAAGAAGG